GAUGAACGCUGGCGGCGUGCCUAAUACAUGCCAGUCGAGCGAACAGACGAGGAGCUUGCUCCUCUGACGUUAGCGGCGGACGGGUGAGUAACACGUGGAUAACCUACCUAUAAGACUGGGAUAACUUCGGGAAACCGGAGCUAAUACCGGAUAAGAUAUUGAACCGCAUGGUUCAAUAGUGAAAGUCGGUUUUGCUGUCACUUAUAGAUGGUUCCGCGCCGUAUUAGCUAGUUGGUAAGGUAACGGGUUACCAAGGCAACGAUGCGUAGCCGGCCUGAGAGGGGGAUAGGCGACACUGGAGCGGAGACGCGGUCAAGACUCCUGCGGGAGGGAGCAGUAGGGAAUGUGCGGCAAUGGGCGAAAGCCUGACGGAGCAACGCCGCGUGAGUGAUGAAGGUCUUCGGAGCGUAAAACUCUGUUAUUAGGGAAGAACAAAUGUGUAAGUAACUAUGCACGUCUUGACGGUACCUAAUCAGAAAGCCACGGCUAACUACGUG
Molecule: ribosomal RNA, 497 nt
Filed under: uncultured bacterium
Lineage: Bacteria
Description: partial 16S ribosomal RNA
Rfam family: Bacterial small subunit ribosomal RNA
Source: RNAcentral